GUAAAGACGAAACCCCAUUAGGGUCUGCCUCUGCCUCCGAUCGGGGUUGAACCUUCUCAGAGUCAGACCCACCGUCCACGUCGGCGGUUUGGGUUGGGUUAUCUCCAUUAGACGGCGGAGAAUCACGGCGGCGGAAACGGUGGUUAGCAUUUGUGUUACUUUUGUUACCCCACUUCAAUUGGGGUAGAGAGAAAUAGUGCAGAGGCUGAG
Molecule: unclassified non-coding RNA, 210 nt
Filed under: Hevea brasiliensis (rubber tree)
Lineage: Eukaryota; Viridiplantae; Streptophyta; Magnoliopsida; Malpighiales; Euphorbiaceae
Source: RNAcentral